Molecule: ribosomal RNA, 253 nt
Filed under: uncultured bacterium
Lineage: Bacteria
Description: partial 16S ribosomal RNA
Rfam family: Bacterial small subunit ribosomal RNA
Source: RNAcentral
UACGUAGGGUGCAAGCGUUGUCCGGAAUUAUUGGGCGUAAAGAGCUCGUAGGCGGUUCGUCGCGUCGGCUGUGAAAUCCCGAGGCUCAACCUCGGGUCUGCAGUCGAUACGGGCGGACUAGAGUUCGGCAGGGGAGACUGGAAUUCCUGGUGUAGCGGUGAAAUGCGCAGAUAUCAGGAGGAACACCGGUGGCGAAGGCGGGUCUCUGGGCCGAUACUGACGCUGAGGAGCGAAAGCGUGGGGAGCGAACAGG